This 370-nucleotide long non-coding RNA is filed under the name Medicago truncatula (barrel medic). RNAcentral's name for it is "long non-coding RNA (MTRU_LNC002480)". Lineage: Eukaryota; Viridiplantae; Streptophyta; Magnoliopsida; Fabales; Fabaceae. The record is from RNAcentral.
UUUUUUUUUUUACGUACAAGUAUUUGAAAAAUAAUUAAAAACAUAUUUAUAAAAUAUUAAGGGACGAGUAAAAAUAAAAUUAAGACUCAUGACAUGUGGGGCCGACAACGGCGAUGAUUUUUGUCACCGGAAUAUGACAAACGUGGCGGUGGGUCCAAGCAACUUCUCUCUAUUUCUGAGACUGAAAUUGAUGGCUAAUUUAUUUCUGCUUGCAGAAUCAUCCAGAAUUUACGAUGGCUAAUUUAUUUCUGCUUGCAGAAUCAUCCAGAAUUUACAUUGGAUUUUGAUUUAUUGCGUGCAAUGUUUAUGCCUUAUUUUUUGUUUCAAAGAGCCCAACAGCAAAAUUUCAAUACUGAAUCGAUAAAUGAAA